CAAAAUCAAAGUCAUAUAUUUAAGCAAGUACAAGAACAGUAGCCUAUUCCCUCCCCUGCUCUGCAGCACCAAUUUCGGCUGUCAUUCAGCUACCCUACUCUUUCAUUCCUAUCAAGCCUUUGAAGGAUCGCAGAGGACCCAUCUGCCCAUAUACAUAUACUAUCAGCCACCAUACUUCAACUGUUGAGGUACAAAAAUAGGGAAAUGUCUAUCCUAGGCUGAUACGUGGUAGGCUGGGACGUUGGAUGAGUGCCACGUCAAAAGUGAUAGAUAACUAGUUCAUUUCAUUUAAAUCAACCCAAUCAACCCAGAAAACCGGUUCAUUUCAUUUACAACCAACCCAGACCGGUACUAUAGUGCUUUUGAAUUUACAUCCAAAAAUAGCUCAUUCAGCCCCCUACACUUGACCCUUCUUCUCAAGCCUCCCAUGGAUCAAUACUCAAGUCUUCAUCCAAACUCUACUCCCUUUAAAGAAUCAGCAACAAUCCCUCUCCAUUUCUUUGCACGCCAAUACAAUCCCUCUCCAUUUCUUUGCACGCCAAUAACAGAGAGUCAAUGAGUUCAUCUUAGCUUCUGCCAAACUUAAAAGAUUUUUUUCCCAGCAAAUCUAUUAUCACAACCAGGUUCAAACACAUUCGCAAGGUAUUAUACUAUCUCAGUCAUUCAACAUGUUUCACACCAAUAAGAAUUCUGAGUAAGGCAUAAAUGACAUCAACAGACUAGAAAUUUUUAGGUGAAAUAAGUGUGCUUUAACUGAUUAGCUUUUGAACUCAAGUACCCAAAUAGAACGCUAGUAAAUAACACACAAGGACCUAUCUAUUGCAUAACUGGUGAGGGCCACAAUCAAACACCAGACCAGAUUUCAUAGUUCACCUAGUGCAGUAAUUAGUUGAACUUAAGGCUUUGUAAGCUUACGAACCUGUUGAUUCGAGUGCGGGUUAUGUUGGCUGGGGUCGGACCUUGGAAGAGUUGGGCGAGAAUGGAGACUGCGUUGCAGGGCACCGCGAAUCGACGGAGCAACGGAUGACUGCUCCGUUCACCAGAUGCAGGGAAACAACAGCGCGGUGACCCCAGUUAAGGAAGACACGACAACACGAUCGGCGUUGGGGGAUCCAACACCGACGACGACGAACGCUAUCGACUCGCCGAUCCUCGAACCACCAGCAGCGAUGGGCGGAUUCUAGGCCUCGCAGCUCACCGAUUUUUCUUGAGAUGACGACGGUUGGGCUGUACCGAACAGAGAACAGCUAGGGCUCGACCCUUACUAGAGCUACGUUAGAGAAAAUCAGAGAGAAGAGAGAACCAAGGAGGAAAUCAUGCCUAUGGCCUCGCUCGGUAACGGCGGUGAUUUCUGAUGGAGAAGAGAAUUAGGGCUCGCCCCUUUCGCCUUGAUUGAGUGCGCCAGAGAGGGUGUGAGUGAGAGAGGGGAAAAGAGAUAGAGGUUGCGAGUCAGGCGAAGGGGGAUGCCGCGUUGACGACCGGAUUCCGGCCUCGCCAGAGCUUAGAGAAAGGGAGAGGUGCUGUUCUGUAUACAGCGAGAACGAGAGAGAGAGAGAAGGUAUCAGCCGAUUAUUGAGAAGAAAGAAAGAAAGAGAGAUGGGUUGGGCUUCAGUAAUUGAUUUUUUGAUUGGGCCUCUACUGUUGGGCUGCAAUUGUUUGACUGAAAUUUAUGAUAUUAAUGGGCCAAGUCUUUAGGCCGAAUCUGUGGGGGAAUUUAUUUUCUUAAAGGGUAAUUAUAUAUAUAGCCCUCAUUUUACUCAACAUAGCCUCAAAUUUAUAAAAGAAAUACAAAUAUUAGUGAAUGUAUUAUUUUGCCCUUGUAGCCCC
This 1827-nucleotide long non-coding RNA is filed under the name Salvia miltiorrhiza (redroot sage). RNAcentral describes it as "long non-coding RNA (SMIL_LNC008892)". Lineage: Eukaryota; Viridiplantae; Streptophyta; Magnoliopsida; Lamiales; Lamiaceae. The record is from RNAcentral.